Molecule: ribosomal RNA, 390 nt
Filed under: Coptocorynus sp. A BHJ-2011
Lineage: Eukaryota; Metazoa; Arthropoda; Insecta; Coleoptera; Curculionidae
Description: eukaryotic LSU rRNA
Rfam family: Eukaryotic large subunit ribosomal RNA (bases 72-390)
Source: RNAcentral
GUUUAGGGGUAAACCUGAGAAACCCGAAAGGUCGAAGGGAGAAAUUCAUCGCGUCUCGAAGCAGGCGUCGGACCAAGGAGUCUAGCAUGUGCGCGAGUCAUUGGGAAUCACUAAACCUAAAGGCGUAAUGAAAGUAAAGGUCCUCCUAGCGGGGACUGAGGGAAGACGGGUGGUUUACCCUUAAAAGUGGCCGCUCCGCACUCCCGGGGCGUCUCUUUCUCAUCGCGUGAAGAGGCGCACCAAGAGCGUACACGCUAGGACCCGAAAGAUGGUGAACUAUGCCUGGUCAGGACGAAGUCAGGGGAAACCCCGAUGGAGGUCCGUAGCGAUUCUGACGUGCAAAUCGAUCGUCGGAACUGGGUAUAGGGGCGAAAGACUAAUCGAACCAUC